Molecule: ribosomal RNA, 1508 nt
Filed under: metagenome
Description: bacterial LSU rRNA
Rfam family: Bacterial large subunit ribosomal RNA
Source: RNAcentral
GCGUGGGACCUGAUCUGGUAGUAGCCAAGCGAUGGGGUGACGCAGGAAGGUAGCUGGGCCAGUCAGUGGUUGUACUGGUGUAAGAGUGUAGGCCGUGACAUAGGCAAAUCCGUGUCACAUUAAGGCUGAGACUUGAUGCAUACCCGUUGUGGGGAAUUCAGUGAUCCUAUGCUGCCGAGAAAAGCCUCUAGUGAGUUCAUACACGGCCCGUACCCCAAACCGACACAGGUGAUCAGGUAGAGAAUACCAAGGCGAUCGAGAGAACUGUGGUUAAGGAACUCGGCAAAAUGCCCCCGUAACUUCGGGAGAAGGGGGACCAUGCCCGGUGAACAUCUUCACGGUGGGAGCUGGGUGUGGUCGCAGAGACCAGAGAGAAGCGACUGUUUACUAAAAACACAGGUCCGUGCGAAGACGUAAGUCGAUGUAUACGGACUGACGCCUGCCCGGUGCUGGAAGGUUAAGAGGACCGGUUAGCAGUAAGGCGAAGCUGAGAAUUUAAGCCCCAGUAAACGGCGGUGGUAACUAUAACCAUCCUAAGGUAGCGAAAUUCCUUGUCGGGUAAGUUCCGACCUGCACGAAUGGCGUAACGACUUCUCUGCUGUCUCGACCACAGACUCGGCGAAAUUGCACUACGAGUAAAGAUGCUCGUUACGCGCGGCAGGACGAAAAGACCCCGGGACCUUUACUAUAGCUUGGUAUUGGCGUUCGAUUCGGUUUGUGUAGGAUAGGUGGGAGACUGUGAAGCAUGCACGCCAGUGUGUGUGGAGUCGUUGUUGAAAUACCACUCUGAUCGUAUUGGACGUCUAACCUCGGCCCAUGAUCUGGGUUAGGGACAGUGCCUGGUGGGUAGUUUAACUGGGGCGGUUGCCUCCUAAAGAGUAACGGAGGCGCCCAAAGGUUCCCUCAGCCUGGAUGGCAAUCAGGUGUUGAGUGCAAGUGCACAAGGGAGCUUGACUGUGAGACUGACACGUCGAGCAGGGACGAAAGUCGGGACUAGUGAUCCGGCACCGGCAAGUGGAAGCGGUGUCGCUCAACGGAUAAAAGGUACCCCGGGGAUAACAGGCUGAUCUUCCCCAAGAGUCCAUAUCGACGGGAUGGUUUGGCACCUCGAUGUCGGCUCGUCGCAUCCUGGGGCUGGAGUAGGUCCCAAGGGUUGGGCUGUUCGCCCAUUAAAGCGGCACGCGAGCUGGGUUUAGAACGUCGUGAGACAGUUCGGUCUCUAUCCGCCGCGCGCGUAAGAAACUUGAGGAAGGCUGUCCCUAGUACGAGAGGACCGGGACGGACGAACCUCUGGUGUGCCAGUUGUUCCACCAGGAGCAUGGCUGGUUAGCUACGUUCGGAAGGGAUAACCGCUGAAAGCAUCUAAGCGGGAAGCCUGUUCCAAGAUGAGGUUUCUCACCACCUUGCGUGGUUAAGGCCCCCUACAGACCAUGGGGUUGAUAGGCCGGAACUGGAAGCGCAGCAAUGCGUGGAGGUGACCGGUACUAAUAGGCCGAGGGCCUAAAAAA